GACAGGAUUAAAUAAGUUUAUGUAAUCAGGUUUGAGUUUAGCGUAAUGACUGUGUGUGUGUGUGUGUGUGUGUGUGUGUGUGUGUGUGUGUGUGUGUGUGUGUGUGUGUGUGUGUGUGUGUGUGUGUGUGUGUGUGUGUGUGUGUGUGUGUGUGUGUGUGUUUGUGCUAUAUCGCCGAAGGAAGGAAAGAGAGAGAGAGAGAGAGAGAGAGAGAGAGAGAGAGAGAGAGAGAGAGAGAGAGAGAGAGAGAGAGAGAGAGAGAGAGAGAGAGAGAGAGAGAGAGAGAGAGAGAGAGAGCGAGAGAGAGAGAGAGAGAGAGAGAGACUUUUACCAUAGAGUGUGGGAGGGGGGGGAGACAUACUUCCAUCCUCGAUGUGAAUCUCCUGGAGGCUGAGCAAACCUCCUUCUCCACUUCACACACUCUACACGCGCAAUCUUCACCGCGGACUGCUCACUCUUCACCCGGGAGUGCUCACCCCUUCACCCGGGAGUCAACCCGCUUCCCUCAAGAGGACCACCGAGUUUAACAAUCGGCGGGACACAAGAACUUUCCGCCGGCAGAGUUCCCGUCUGUCCGCACUACACGGUCCGUCCUCCCGGAGCAGGUCGGGCUGAGGCUCGCUGGUCGGAGAGAUGAUACUAGUCUGCCCCUCCCUGCUCCUGGCUCUCUGUCUGCUGGGCUCCGGGACCGGUGGUCCUCCGACCCGGGGCUCCCCGCCCAGGGCGAGUCUGGGUCAGCUGGAGCGUUGGGGGCGGAGCGCCGUGCAGUACCUGAAGCUCCAGCGGUGUCGCCGCGUGGGCUCCUCCCCGGCCGUGGGGGGCUGCAGGCCUGACGGGAUGCAGCUCCUUAACGCCGCCCUGUACGUAUCGGAGCUGGUCACCCACCUAGGAGCUCCAGAAAAGGUGGUGGCCCUGCUCCCGGACUCCUCGGACCCCACGGGGCUGGGGGUCUACAGAGCGGGGGGCGGCCCUCGGCCCACGGCAGCCCACGACGCGGUCCUGCUAGUGGAUCCAAGCCCCGGGGAGAACUUCGGCCAUCCUGUGGUUCUGUUUUACGUGGACAUGAACGUGACCAAGAAACGCUGUUCGCUCAUGGAGGGCCUUUACUUCGGGGAGGAGUGUUUGACUCUGGCAUUGAAGGGUCGCUGUCAGAACCAGUUGAAGCGUCGUUCGUCCACGUCCCAGCGGUUGCUUAGAAACCUUGAGCGGAGGGCAGGGCCAUGUGAGGUCACCUUCCUUCCCCUAGUGGUUGGACUGAGAGACAGCAACAAAACACAGAGACUCAGGUGUAUCGAGCACCCUGAGUUUGGGCCGUGCCCCCGGACCCUUCCCCCACCCCCCCCCCAUCCAGCAGUUGUCCAGCUGUGA
This 1368-nucleotide long non-coding RNA is filed under the name Gadus morhua (Atlantic cod). RNAcentral describes it as "lncRNA (ENSGMOG00000033487.1)". Lineage: Eukaryota; Metazoa; Chordata; Actinopteri; Gadiformes; Gadidae. The record is from RNAcentral.